UGUGGUGAUCAUGUCCAUCGUGGUUAAGUUAGACUCAGUCUGUGGUGAUCAUGUCCAUCGUGGUUAAGUUAGACUCAGUCUGUGGUGAUCAUGUUGUUAUAAGAAUUUUAUAUCUCGAUGAUAAUAAUCAAAAAUCAAUUCGCCUUGACUAAUGCCCAAGGUUUGUAAGACAAUGGGUUAAAAUAAUUAGGCAAGGACUCAGCUUUCUGCAAAAGGUUUCUGUAGCUUUAUUCAUGAAAACGUUCUGGCGUCAGGAUAACAAAACAGUCAUUAUAUAGUUCUUGCUUACUUACGCACAUGCAUUUACACACAAUCUGUUGGUGACCUGCAACCCCCAUAAACUUCUCACACUGUUUAUCACCUUCUGGCUCAGCCUGUUCCUUUCCUUCAAGGUUAGGAACUCUCUGAGGUUUUACUCCCUUGACCAUCUGCUUCUCUAUCUCUCUAUACUAAUUGCAUACACACAUUUCUUUCCCUCUCCAGUGGUUCUUGGACUUUCUGGAACUAAUCAGACUAAUCGAUCCCUACAUUGAUCAUUACAUUGAUUAUUCAUUAACCCUGCUGUAUGACUAAUAAUUCAUCAUGGUUUAUUGAUUCAUUUACCUUUAUUAGAUAAUUCUCUUAUCAAUUCCACCCUUAAAUGAUUCACUAAUUCACCAUGAUGAUCACAUGCUAUAAGUAAUCACUAAUAAUCUCACGCUAUAUGGAAAUACAAUAAUCACACGCUAUAUGGAAAUACAAUAAUCACACGCUAUAUGGAAAUACAAUAAUCACACGCUAUAUGGAAAUACAAUAAUCACACGCUAUAUGGAAAUACAAUAAUCACACGCUAUAUAGAAUUUAAUUGUGAUACAAGGAUUAAACAAGACUAAUACAUAAUUAUUCCUCCUAUACCCAUCAAUGACAGUCCUAGGCCUCUUUCCAAUUAUGACACUUCGAUUCAGGAUUUUCAUCAUAAUUUUCAUUAAAGGAACAGUCUAUCAAAACGUUUAAAAUUCAAUCAAAACGUUGAAAAUUGUUUCAUCAAACAUUGGCUCCUCGUUAUUGAAAGAGACAGAGCCAUCUCCCUGGCCUGGAGGCCCGCAUUCGCCAUCCCACUGAUCGGAGCUCGGAAUUGGUCCAUAUCUCACCAUCUGCUGCGUCAUCGAUCUCUCUAGAGUCCUGGUGAUUAAACCUCUCACACAUGGGACGAGACAACAUCCACACAACACAAACACACUCAUACAGGUGAAAGCAGCCCAUAAUACAGUUCUUACAACACUUUUCCAUUUCCCAAACAUGGGAUGUGUUAUCAGGAAUGUACGUGUAGCGCUGAACCUAAUCAUUCUACCUGCACUGCCCUCUUCUGCCAAUAACAUAUCGAGAGUCAGUCUAUUUUACCAGGUCAUGAGGGGGGUGGUGGAUAAUUGGUCAGAGAACCUCUUUACUGCAUCCCCGUUUUCAUUCAUGAAUCUCUGUUGAUUAUAAAAGAUGUCAUUAAUCCAAUCCACAAUUCUAUUUAUUGUCAACCACCGAAAUAAUGUAGUGUUAAAGUCUUCACAUAUUUGAUUCAUAGCUUUGUAUUCAUCUGGAACAUCCCUGAGGAUGCCAAUAGCAUCCAUCUAGACAAAGCUACUCCCAUCCUGAUCAAAACUCCUCCUGUGCCUACUUUAGCCUCCUAUAACUGGCCUCAGAUGACUAACUCGAGCUGGUUGGACCAAUAACAUCGGGGCGCAAGUUCCUAACCACCCUUUGUGGUAAUUUCUGUCGUAUGCGUCCUUUGCUGGUACUAGCCCACCCUUCAUCAGUUAUAGGUGCUGUGAGGUUAAACAUUUUCUAUUUAUCUUUCAAACCUAAGUCAGUCACAUUAACGAUUACUUUCAGCCAUUAAAAUCAUCUUAGUUCUCGGUGCCAUUCUUGUAUCUAUAACACUGGUAUUCAUCCGGAAUUUAGGUGAACCGAGGUGGGUUGGCUGAGUACUUCAAUCUGGCCAACCCCAAUUCCUGUACAGUUGUCUGCUUCCCCAGGAAAUUGUUUAAUGUUUACCUUAAAGUCUACAUCUUGAUCUUCUUUGAUUCCUUAUUCUGUAUGUCACUCAUCAGUGUAUUAUAUAGUUUAUCUUCUACUUCUUCUCAAUGACAACGGUAUCCUAUGAUUAGUACCAGAAGGUGGUGGAUCUGAAUGUAUCAGAAAGGUUACCAAAACUAUGAUGCAGCUCAGAGUCUCUACUCUUCCCAAAAACCGCCAACCCUCUCCUGCCCUUAGUCUCUCUGCUUGGUACCACCCCAUACUCGCACCUCUAGGAGCACACACAGUGAUGAACGGUCGGGAUAGGAAAUCUUUGUUAAGGAGGUAACCCCCGGACCCUGUUGGUAUCGGUUCUUCUCCUAACUCUGUGUGUGAUUAUCAGUGCUCAUAUGUGUACAUACCUCCUUGCAGUGGAUAACGUGGACCCAAGUGACUCUCUCAGCUUUUCUAAUGACAAAGGCAAUGGUUUAACAGCACCUGGUAUGGGCCUUCCCAACGGGACUGCUUCCAGUCUUUUCUCCUCAGGGACUGGAUCCACACCCAGUCUCCUGGUUGAAUUGAGUGAAUCACCUUCUCCUGUAAUUCACCUGUUGGACACAAAAUCUUGGACAUACGGGUUUGGUUAACAAACAGUCUUCUCAUGUGCUCUGCUAGUAUUUCUUCAACUUCUAUGUCUACCUGUUCUGGCAUCUCUAACUCUGGCAUUCUAUAGGCUCUACCUGAUUAGCUAAACUGUCAUCCAUCAUUUAAAGAGAUGGCUCCUAGUAAACCAACUCUAGGGAUAAUAUCUUGACUUAAUAUUUUAGCUACCAUAAUCAUGUCCACCAAGUAAGUUGGGAACGCUUCUACCCAUUUGCUAUACUUAUCUAUUCUUGUUAAACACCCCUUCUUCUCCUCAUUUCGGAAUAUCUCAAUAAGGUCAAUUUCAAUAAAAAUGGUUUAAGUAAUUAUCCUCUAGACCAUCACUCUUUCCUAACUACUCUACUAUACUUCCCUCCCCUUGAUACAUUGCUUAGCCUAUGUAUCAAUAUUGCUGCAUAUCCAUACAAUGUCUUUGGUAGGAUAAGUAAAUUAUCCUUAUGUCAGACCUUCUCUUGUAGGAUGCCCCCUUUCAUUUUCCACAUGUCCAAUUCUCCCUGGGGCAUUCAUCCUUGGCUAUCAUUUAACAAUCCUCUGUCAAGGUUCUUAUCGUCUUUAAGAUUUAUCCAUGCUGCUUUGUAUGGUUUUAAAUGUCUAUGUGCUUGUCUGUGUAAAUAGUAACUUUUCUCUCCUUUCUUAUUUCACCGGUUCUAGUCAAUGCUACUAUAUUUCGGCCUACUGUGCAGAAUAGUGUCUGGGCAAUGGUUCAGUGUCUAACACCUGAAACCAACUAAGCUUUCAUUGCCCUUUUAGUUAGGGUAACCAUUACUUUCAACAAAAUGAUCAUAUCUCCUCCUAGCGAAUUUACCAGACAUAAACUUAAAAUCAAAACUAAAAUACAUGCCUAUGGAGCCGAUAGUCUCUCCAUGAAUUAAUAUCCUAAAGCUAAGUGAACCAAAUUCUCUUCCUAUCUACUCCUGCUGGCCCCCCUCCUUUCUUCCUGCUACUCCCCAACCCUCAAGGUUUCAGCAGUGCAGGGGAGGAUUUCUCCGUCUGCCCUUCUGUCUCCAGCUUUUAUUUAAAUAAUAUGGGUUGUUUCCAAAUAUUGACUAAAUGUCUCAUUGUCUCCUUGGUUGCACUCCUGAGUUUUAGAAAAAUCAACCUGUCUAGAUAUUGCAUAUCUACUUAAAUUUAUCUCGAUACCCUCAAUAAUCUUGGAUCACCUACAGAUGUCAUAUAUCCCUGUCCUGUUGACAUAAGUCUACCAUUAUUAAACUUAUUCACAACAAAAUAUAGUAAUAAAAUAUUUUCAAAUCACAUAAUCAGAUCAAAAUGACUAAUCUGAUUUACUCCACCAAGAAAAGUUAUUUUACCCUUAUUGUUCUAGGAAAAUAGACUUAAAGAAGCCUACCCUUAGUCUAAGGCUUUGCCCUUUUAGUCUUCUCAUUUGGUUCAAAUUAUCAAUUGUGUCUAAGAACUUUAACUCCAUCAUAAUUAUCAGUUCUUCAAAUUCCCUUAAAAUCAAUAUCACCAAUGACCUUAAAUUCACCAUCCAAAUGGCUUUUCAAUGUGGCUGAUCAGACCACACAGGAAAAGUCACCAGAGGGGUCAAAAGUCAUUACCACCCUUUCAGAACCGUGUUUCUUACUACAUUAAACAAAUUAAAGCUAAGAACUUUAUCUACAUUUUGUAUCCCAGGUUCCCAGAACAUUCCCUAUCAAAAGAAUUUCAUUUGUUUAUUAAAACUCAGAAAACAAGACACGCCCCAGUAUCACACAGAAAUGUGAUUCUCUCUCCCAUUACUGUUAGUGUCAAAUAGGGUUUCUGUUCUUGUUGUAAUGCCAAAUCAAUUGUAGCCAAUUCAAAAACUUCACAAUCGCUGUUUAUAACUAAAUUCUGAAAAUCGUCCUUCCCCUCACUAGUGUCUGUUCCCCCGCUCUCCAUAGUUAGUCCUGCCCCAUCCUCCUCCUCCUCCUCCUCUGGCUGGGGGCGCCUGACCUUCUCUUUGUAUCUGUCUCUACUCCCUGUCUGGCCUUGCUUGUCUCUGUUUUUGUUACAAUCUCUACCAGAAUGGUUUCCCUCCCUGCAGCGGUUACACGGUGCUUUACACUGUCUAGCAAGGUGUCCUAGCUUGUGACAAUUGAAACACUUGUAUUCCUCUUUCUCUCCUUUCCUGCUAUUCUGUUCUCUUUUGUCACCUCUACCGUUCCCUGCAAUCUCUCCUAGAGUGGUCAUCAAAUACUCUGCUCCUUUCCUUUCCUUCUUCUCUUUCUCACCUUUGCCAAGUUGCUCAUAGUGUACAGCAUAUCUCUUUACUUCCCUCAGAUCUGCUAGCCCCCACCCUAUGAGGUCCUGUUUAAUGGCGCGACUUAUCUCGGGACGCAUUCCACUGAGGAAAGCAAUUUUUAAUUGCUGAUAAUACGGGGCAUCAAAUCCAUCCACUAUCGGGGGUUCUAUUAACCCACUGUUAGCGUUGAACACGUCAUUUAAUCUCUCUAAGUAUUGGCUUAUAGUCUCACUGUCUUCUUGUUUACACUCGUGAACCUUAGAGAAAUCUGCAUGUCGGUGAUAGUGGUCCCACAGAUUAUUACACAGCUGUGUGAUUUUCUCGACAUAUUGUCCAUCUAUCGCCCAGGGCACUACUAUCAAAUCCCCAUUUCCUGGUACCCAAUUUCCCCUAACUGCUGCCCAAUCUUUUCCCACCAGCUGUCUAACUGCUCUCUCUACUUCACCCGUGUUUAGUUUAAAGUUGGCUGCCAGAGCCUCCAAAUCUCUCUUGAACCCAUCCAUUCCUGUCUUGGGAUGUCCUACCCCUUCUACUGCCCUGGCUACAUCUCUCUGAGUCCAUGCUCUAUAUACCUCCAGUGUCGGCCCCUGUCCUUCCUCCCCAGCUCGGGGGUUAGGUAAGGCUAUCAGAGGGUACUGUCUGGCUGUCCUUUCCUUCUCUUCUAUCCAUUCCGAAUCAUUCUCACUUCCCUCUUGUCUAUCUCUAUCCGGACUUUGGUUAUGGGAAACGAGUCUACUGAGGGCUCUGGGUUGUGCAGCACCACUAACACGCUCUCUUCCCCUAGUUCUCAUCUUUCUCUCUCCCUCCGUUUCUAUCCACUUUUUCAAUAAAGUGGCUAAAUCCUGUCCUCCUCCCUGUGUCUCUUCCUCUCUACCUCCCUCGGCUCCCUGAGGACCAGCAUAUGGGGGAGGGGGUAUUGGUACGGGCGGCACUUGAUGUGGUUGCCUCAGUCUCACUACCACCACCUCGUUAUCUGGGUUCUCCCGCCACCCCUGGUCAGCCAGGGAGGGGUAUAAUUUGGGUUCAGAUGUUGUCUCUGUGGGAGCCGUGGGAGUCCUCUCUGUCUGCUCCUGUCUACCCAAACAUUCAUUCUUAGUAACUCCCUUACUCUUGGCCCCCUCCGCUCUCUUUCUAGCUUCUGCUAGCCAUACCCGAGCAGUGUCAAGGCCCUCUAUCUUACCCCCACAGACCCUAUGUAUUUGUUUUAUCAUUAAUUCCAAUCUUUCAACAUUUAAACAUCCAUCAAAAUCGUAUUUCUUCCUCCAUUUCGGGCCAAAAUAAAUGUUCCUCUUAUCUUUUCCCAGCAUAAAGCGUUCAUCUCCCGUCAAUACCGGGAUCUCCUUAGAGGAUUUACUACCCAUGUUGUUAAAGUACACUCGUAUUUAUUCUGCUUCUUCUCCCAAUCUAGAAUUUUAGAAAUAUUAUUCGUAAGAACCUUAAACUAUCUUUUUAUUCUAUGUGCUUUAAUUUAUAAAACUCUGAUUCAAUUACGAUCUGUGUGUACUUGCUAUUGAUCUCUAUGUGUGUGCUGUAUUUUUCUUUGUCCAUGCCCUACUGGUAAUUUCCUCUAGGGUCCCAGAAUAAUUUCUUUCAUGACUUUUGAUAGAUCCAUUAGGUCUCGCAUGUAUAUGGCUUUUGACCCUCUUAUCUAUCUCACACGCAAUUAUCCUCUUACCCCUGUGGAAACUUCCCAAUGUGUCUAUGUGUUGUACAAUCUAUGUGUAUCUCCUUCUUGAAACUUUAUCUAUAGCGGUGACUUUUGAUCGGACAUUAGGUCGCAUACGUAUGCAACUAUAAACUAUCUUCCAGGGGUCGUAAAGCCCUAGUUAGCUUAUUUAUCUGUUGCUUCAUGUAAUUAACAAUAAUAUCUGUAUCUCACUCCGCCAUAUUAGGUCUCCCUUCUCCCAUGGAUAAUCAGACCUAGGUUGCGCCUCCGGAAGAUCUGACCAUCCCCUUCUAGACGUAUUUAGACAGGCGACCUAUAUUAAUGUAAUCAUGUCUCUAUCCUCAUCCCUCAUAAUUAUAUUACUAUAUUUCGCAUUCCAAUUUACGUUUCCGGCCAAUGUCUUUCCACCAAUUUUACGUUUUAGGUACUCAACAUUUAGCUAGUUUAUAUUGGUAGUGGCCACAGACACCGUGGAGUCAUUUCGGACCCCUCCUCCUCCUGUUUGAACUUAUACCCGAUUCCUAUCUUCCAUUUGCACAGAAUACUUGGUUCCCUUUAAAACCGAUUUUUCUCCACGCAAACUUAUAAAGACAGGUCACCAGAUACAAACUCCCUUCCGGAUAGUUCCAGCGUCUAACACCCAGAGUACAUUAAAAUCCUCUACUUGCUCCCGCCUUUCACUCUCACAUCAAUCGCUUUGCCUUUCACUCUCACAUCAAUCGCUUUUGCCUUUCACUCUCACAUCAAUCGUUUCCUCAUUUAAUGCCAACACCCAAUUGUGUCCCUUAUUCCAUCAUGCAAUGCAGACCUACAGGUGUAUCACUCAUCAUGCAACGCAGACACACAGGUGUACCACUCAUUCCUUAUUUAAUGUAAUCAUACAGGUGCUAUUCCCCAAAACAAUGAAUAAAGUCUACUAACCUUAUAAUUUGCAGCUGAGUUUUUCAAUGUUCGUUGAAUCUCGUCACCACCUCUGUCGCGUACCAGUUUGCCACCGGCCUGUAAAGAACCCACAGAAAAGGUUCAGGUCUUUGAUUUACGGAUAUUUCAUCCGCCCGGUUUCGGUGUCUCCUUGGAACGACAGCGGCAGUUUUUGAGAUCCCGGUCGAAAGACCAAUUGUUAUAAGAAUUUUAUAUCUCGAUGAUAGUAAUCAAAAAUCAAUUCGCCUUGACUAAUGCCCAAGGUUUGUAAGACAAUGGGUUAAAAUAAUUAGGCAAGGACUCAGCUUUCUGCAAAAGGUUUCUGUAGCUUUAUUCAUGAGAACGUUCUGGCGUCAGGAUAACAAAACAGUCAUUAUAUAGUUCUUGCUUACCUACGCACAUGCAUUUACACACAAUCUGUUGGUGACCUGCAACCCCCAUAAACUUCUCACACUGUUUAUCUCCUUCUGGCUCAGCCUGUUCCUUUCCUUCAAGGUUAGGAACUCUCUGAGGUUUUACUCCCUUGACCAUCUGCUUCUCUAUCUCUCUAUACUAAUUGCAUACACACAUUUCUUUCCCUCUCCAGUGGUUCCUGGACUUUCUGGAACUAAUCAGACUAAUCGAUCCCUACAUUGAUCAUUACAUUGAUUAUUCAUUAACCAUGCUGUAUGACUAAUAAUUCAUCAUGGUUUAUUGAUUCAUUUACCUUUAUUAGAUAAUUCUCUUAUCA
This 8190-nucleotide long non-coding RNA is filed under the name Salmo salar (Atlantic salmon). Its description in RNAcentral is "lncRNA (ENSSSAG00000110227.1)". The record is from RNAcentral. Lineage: Eukaryota; Metazoa; Chordata; Actinopteri; Salmoniformes; Salmonidae.